CACUACUGUAGAUGGCAUAGGGUGAUCACAUGUUCCCAUUUGCCAGGAUUCAUACCUGUUGUCUGGGUAUAAUCAUUAAGAGUGUCCCCUUUCACUCUUAAGAGUGUUGCAAUUAAACUGUCACUAUAUAUAAGGAAGCUAAACUAAAGAAAACCUUGCCAAAGGUCAUAAAGCUAAUAAGCACUUCAGCCAGGACUUGACCCAAAACACAAUCUCCUCCCAGAACGCCUCACAGCCCUCCCAGAAUGGCUCACGCCCCUUCCAGGAUGCCGCAUGCGCCUUCCCCGAUGCCUCACACCCCUCCCAGGAGGCCUCACGCCUCUCCCACGAUGCCUCACACCCCUUCCAGGAUGCUGCACGCGCCUUCCACGAUGCCUCACGCCCCUCCCAUGAUGUCGCGUGCGCCUUCCACCGAUUCCUUACGCCCCUCCCAGAAUGCCUCACGCCCCUCCUACAACGCCUCACAGCCCUUUCAGAGGGCCUUACUUUCUGGUUCUCCCUCUACCUGGGGGGAAGGGUAGUGUAUAUCAGAGUGUGAGCCUGUGUGCUGGUCUCCUAAACUCCUGACAGGCCUUGAGAGACAGGUGAAGUCACUUCCCUCUCUAAUAAUCUUUCCCAGCUCUAGGGUGCACCAGAACCUGGAGAAGUUUCUGCAGCCUCAGAUUUUGGUGCAUGGGUGGCCAGGCUGAGACGGAGGUUGAAGCCUUACUCAGGGGCAUGGGAUCUUUUUGCAGGGUGCUUUUUGUUUUUUUCCCCUCUCUUGCUCAGAAAUCUGGAAAAUGUGAACUUCCUGGGAGUGGAAGACAGGCUCGCUCUUCCUGUUCUCUGGAAAGUGAGGGAGCCAGACAGCCACAUGGAGAGGUCACACACAGGUGAUCUGACCAACCGUUCCAGCAGAGGAGGUCCUGGCUGAUAGCUGCCACCCACCACCAGAGAGGCUUCAAGCUCUUCCCCACUCAGAGCCUUAGUGUUCGAUCCUCUCCUCUGGAAAUGGCUUCAAAGAAGACCCGACCUAAGAAGCCUCCAUGCCUCCAUGGCCCAUUAAUGCUGCUGUGGUGUGACUGGACAUCAGCCAGGCUGUAGGACACCAAACAUCUGGAUACUGAGAAGGCUUCAAGGGCUGCUGCCGAAGGACAGUGUCAGGGCUGGGGGAAAGGGACAUGACAGCAGAUUUUCAUCACCAGUGACCCGAGACUUGGUCUGGCACUCACACCAAACCCUUCCUGAUGUGAAGUAGUGAGGUCAGCUUGGGUGUACAUUCUGAGCUGUAGGCCAUGCCUGGAGGGGAGCAAGAUGUCUCCCUGGGAAGAGACCGUGGAACACAUCUGUGGAAGAAGCAAUGGCCAAAUGGUUAUGGAUGAACAGAGGAGACUGUGACGGGGGAGUGGAAGACAGUCCUCAGCCGGGUGCUACUGUGAUGGGCAGUCACUGGCCUCUUCUGGCGCAUCUGCCUGCAGGGUACCUGGAGCUGCAGGGAUGGAGUCCAGCACUCUUCUAGAGCCCACUCCAACCAGGGACCCAUAAAUAUUGGUCUGGUUUUGGUACAAAGACCAGCCCCAAGCACAUCAGCGGGGUGUUUUCAGCUGGGAGGAGCAGACAUAUUCUUUCACUCUGGCUCUCAUGUGGUCCAGCACAUGGGGAGCUGUCUGGGUGGGGGCUACCAACCAGAGCUUGGCUGCCCCCCAGCCCCUUGCCCUAAGCCCUGACGUCACAGCCCAGACAUCUGGCUGUCAGAUCUGAUUGAGCUCAUGCCUGGAGAGAGCUGGCAGGCCAGGAGGCCUAACUCCACACACAUCCAUGCCCACCCAGCCAGGAUCUGCCUUCCCCUGGGGCAAAGCACUAACCACUUGGAGACUUGCUAUCCUCAUAUGUGGAACGGGGAUCAUGAUAACACCUACCUGGAAGGCUUUUCAUAAGCAUUAAUGAAAAUGAUGAGCUGAAUGUCAUCAACAUACAGGACCUGGCAGAUCGUAAACACCCAACUAGUGAUAAGCACUACAGUAAUGUAUAACAAGAUGCUCCUCUUACUCUCUGGGACAGUAAUGUCCUGUGUGAUAUUAGGCAAGCCACUCUUUCUGAGUCUCAGUUUCUUUACCUGUAAAGUGAGAGUACUUCCAUCAAGCUUCCUUUUCUAAUCCAAAGUUUCACUUUCUGUGAAAUGAGGAUAUUUUCAUAUUUAUUUAAUGGGGGGAAUAGAAAGAAAAAGGCUCAAAUGACAUAUAGUCAAUAUGAUAAAGCUUUGAAAAAUAUGAAGAACUGUUUUAACUCAAGAGAGGAUAAUGAUAAUGAGCAAUAAUGUAAGUGCUAAUUAAUGCUAGUAGUUUCCCAAUAUGCUUUAUUUGCUUGCUAAAGGGUUGAAGGGGAGAAUUUCCAGGGUAUGUGUUGGGGAGGAAGACUGGCAGAGUGGUUCUGGGCAGAAUGUAAAUUAUGCAGGGAUGUGGCUGAAUUGGAGACAUUCAGCCCACUCUUGGGAUAUCUCCAACUCAUUAGGUGUGUGGUUUGGAUAAACCCUCCAAGUGGUUCUGAAGCUCUUGACUCCUACCUCAUCCCCCUUCUUGGGUAUUCCUCACGUUAGCUCAAAGCUUUGAGGCUCAUUUAAAUUCAGUGCCCCAAGGAUCCCAUUCAUAACUAUUCUCAGAUACUCAUGCCUAUGUGUGAUUGGAAUUCCUGUAAGGGAAGAGUCUGGUCUAAGAAGGCUGUAGACUUGGAGUUGGUGUAUAAGGGGAGAGCUCCACAGAAGGGAAGACUGCAGGCGAGCGCUCCCUUGGCCAGUGGUCCAUACCUUACAUAUCUUACAUACCUUACAUCUCUACCUUUGUACUGGCAGAGAUAGUCCAGCUGCUGUGUUCUCAAGAGCUAGCACAGGGUCUAAAUUAGGGUAUCUUGGCAUCUUUAAUCCCAUAUUUCCCUCCCUGUCCUCUGUUGAUCUGCUCCUCUCUUAGAAGGAAUUGUUACUAUUUUUUGUGUAUCUCCAUGACUCAAGCAUAGUGUGGUAAACUUUAUUUUCUAUAGCUUGUAUUGUGAGAACAAUACACAUUUCAUAGAAUAUUAUGAAGUCAGUUACUUGUCUGAGGUUGGGAUCCCCUAGAAGUAGUACUAAGAAAAGGAUAUGAAUGCAAGUGACCUCAGAAAGCUCCGAGAGAGUGCAGAAAUGAGAAAGUGAUUGGAAGGAGCAGAUAAAGAUUGAGUAGCAAUUGGUAUGGGAAACUGGGGCAUAAUCUCACUGAGUUGUCCCAGACAAGGGGAAGGAAGUGGAGGUAUCUAAGCACCAUCACCCCAUCUUUGGCUAAGGAUGGACUCCAGGAGCACUAACCCUCCAUCAGCUCUGGCUUGUCCUGAGCACAGGCAAACAUGGGGCCUAGUGGGUAGUCUUCAGUCUGGAGGUGACACUGAAGACUAUUGCAGAGAACCAAGAGAGCAUGCUGAAAUAUGCCUUUACAAAUGAGGUACAUCUCUCACUCUUGCCCUCAAACUCACCGAGACUCUUAUGUGAAAUUCCCAUCAGAUCUCUAGGCUGGGAUCUCUAGACUAGUGCACUAUGACACAGUUUUGGACAAUGCCAUGGUUUGUCAUUAUGAGAUGAAUAAAAAAAAAAAUCUCUUGAUCCCCCUGUUGGAAGACGCUGCAUGUGUCUCAUUUUUCUGCAUGUCUUACCAGCCCAGACUCAGGCUUCCUUUG
This is a long non-coding RNA of Mustela lutreola (European mink), 3678 nucleotides long. RefSeq lists it as uncharacterized. The transcript is spliced from 4 exons. Lineage: Eukaryota; Metazoa; Chordata; Mammalia; Carnivora; Mustelidae. The record is from RefSeq and is a predicted model, not a curated record.